GUUAUUCACACUCAAUAUGGCGGCGCGUUCACACGCUGCGGCUUCUCUCUCUCCCGACAGAAAGGUGUUUUCGUGUUUUUUGUCUUGUGAGUCGCAGUGUUUUUGUACGUAUUCGUCGCGUCUAUC
This is a long non-coding RNA of Sinocyclocheilus rhinocerous, 126 nucleotides long. RefSeq lists it as uncharacterized. The transcript has 3 exons. NCBI's taxonomy places the organism in Eukaryota, Metazoa, Chordata, Actinopteri, Cypriniformes, Cyprinidae. The record is from RefSeq and is a predicted model, not a curated record.